This is a long non-coding RNA of Xenopus laevis (African clawed frog), 1790 nucleotides long. RefSeq lists it as uncharacterized. The record is from RefSeq and is a predicted model, not a curated record. Lineage: Eukaryota; Metazoa; Chordata; Amphibia; Anura; Pipidae. The transcript has 2 exons.
UUUGGGCAGGCUACAGGUGACCACACAUGGCCUGACUUAUAUGGGACCUAAAUCCCCCCCCCAAAAGGCAGACUUUAAUUUUAUUAUUAUUUUUGCUUCUAUCUUUCUUUUUAAGUCUGACUUAUACACCUUCCAUUCCGGCAAUUUUUGUUAGAAUGCUACCUUCUUGUACCUGGCCCAGCAGACCAUGCAACAUAAAAUGUAAGACUUGCAAAUAGUGAGACAUACCAGGUAAUGACCGCUGAUUUUGCCGCAUAGACAAGAUGGAUCAGCCCAGCAGCUGUUAGGAUGACAGAAAGCUGCCUAGUUUCUUAGCCACUCUGUCAUUCAAAUAUCAGGGGCUUCUGUUCGCUGCAUCUUCCUUCACACAAGAGCAGAUAUCUGUGACUUUUCACUGGCUCCUGACCCUUACGGACCUUCUGGCUGCCUCUCUCCCACAGUCUGCCCUUAGUUGAAGAAAACUGUUAUUUAUGAGGGAGGGUUGGAGGCAGACAGGCAAUGAACCAAACACCUUAAUAAAAGCUAACAACCUCCCCCACCAUCUCCAAGAUAAAGGCACAUCGGCAGUCAGUCGCACCGUUUACUAACGCAUCAUUAAAAAAAAACAACUUUGAUUUGUGUUUAUUUUUUUAAGUAACAGUGAGGUUUGGGGAGGCGUAGCAGCUUCGCCGUGUCUCUAUCUGUACUAGGACCCCGCAGCUACCUGCACUCCCCAACUUCCCCUGCCCCGCAUAGCUCUCUCUCACUCACUCACCUGGGGCAGAUGCAGGCCCCUUUCUGCCUGUGACUCACGUGCAUGGGAAGUUCUGCUUCUGCCGCUCUGUUCCUAUGCCCCCCCCCCUUCCUCUCCCCGAUACAGUUCAAAAGCUCUGCGAUCAGAGCCAGGUCAGAGCUGCCGGAGAGCUGAGGGGGUAGGGCAGGGGCUGGCAAAACCAAGCUCAAUAUUGGUGCCGCAACCCUGCGCCGCUGGUGACGUCACACAAAGUGCGCAGCUGGAGGAGGGUGCCGUUUAAAAUCAGAAAAAAACUUUAUCCCUCCAUUGGGUUGCGGACCCCAUCGGGGGUGCAGGGGCACGGGCCAUGGUACCGCCGCACCCCUGGGCCCUGCACCCCCGGUAGUUCCGCCACUGCCCUCAUCCCAUGUCUAUCUGAGUCGCUACAUUUCUGCAGAGCAGCCUCGCGAUUCCCUAGUGCAGAGCGGAAUGGGUCAACAGUGGGCCCCCCUUAUAAGUGGGCCCUGGGCAGCUGCCCACUUUGCCCAUUUGUUAAAGCGGCCCUGGGUGGAUCUUCCUCUUUGGCUUCUGGAUGCUGUUCCAGCUGGAUGUUUACAGGGAGCCUGGGUACAACAAGGCCCAGUAAAGCCAUUUUGCCAUAGAGGGACCGGGGAACCAGUACCUCUAGAGAGUAAAGUCGGGCAGCAGGGACCCUGUGAAAGAGGCUAGUUAGAGAUAGGAUACUACAUGUAAUCUUUGGGAAAUUAGAUAGGUAGGUUAAAUAGCAAGAACAGCUGGGAUCCAACUAGGAGGGAUAGCAAGGAGGUAGUCCUCCACUCAGGCAAGACUGGCCUGUAGUACAGCAACGCAGCCUAAUAGGAAGUUAGGGCUAAGGAUCAGAGUGCUUCGAUCCUCAGGGUUUAUCUAUCCAGGUGUUCCGCUAUCACCUUGGGGAGUUCCACUGUGCUGUGUCUGAGGGACAUGUUGUAGCCAUGUCAUGUCUGCUGGAGCCUCUGUGUAUUGUAAGUAAUAAACAUGUGGAUCAUUUGUCUUGGACAAAUAAACUGUACUAACCUGG